This 253-nucleotide ribosomal RNA is filed under the name uncultured bacterium. RNAcentral's name for it is "partial 16S ribosomal RNA". It matches the Rfam family "Bacterial small subunit ribosomal RNA", at positions 524 to 776 of the family's 1533-position model. The record is from RNAcentral.
UACGUAGGGUGCGAGCGUUAAUCGGAAUCACUGGGCUUAAAGCGUGCGUAGGCGGAUGCGCAGGCGUCGUGUGAAAGCCCUCGGCUCAACCGAGGAAUUGCACGGCGAACCGCGCGUCUUGAGACAAGUAGGGGCGGUCGGAACGAUAGGUGGAGUGGUGAAAUGCGUUGAUAUCUAUCGGAACGCCAAAGGUGAAGACAGACCGCUGGGCUUGUUCUGACGCUGAGGCACGAAAGCGUGGGGAGCAAACGGG